Long non-coding RNA from Hemicordylus capensis (graceful crag lizard), 557 nucleotides. RefSeq lists it as uncharacterized. Lineage: Eukaryota; Metazoa; Chordata; Lepidosauria; Squamata; Cordylidae. The transcript is spliced from 2 exons. The record is from RefSeq and is a predicted model, not a curated record.
CGGGGGGCGGGGUGUCUGCCGUGCAGGACGUCCCGGGGGACGCCCGAUCCCUCUGCCCAGGUUGCCUGAGAAGUAAGCUGCUCGCUUGCACGCCUAAGGGCAACCAACGACUGCCUUGCAUUAGAUUUCGGUGUAGUGCCUCGCAGAUUUUAGGCGCCUUCCUUCUCAAGCGCCUCAAACCUGCCAGAAGCCAAAAAAAAAAAAGUAGCUUCCUCACUGUGAUGAAUAUUGUGGACUAAACAGGAUGUCCAGAAAGGAUCUCUGUUCCAUCAACUCUUGAUUCAGCCAAACUGCACAUACUUAACUAAGAAGUAAUGGAUCUGGCUUGGCAGCUCUUCUGGAAAACAGCACUCCUCUAAAGACGGCCUCCCAGCUGCAAGAGGAGACCUGACCUGGUCAUCUUGACCCAAGACAAGUGAAGUAAUGCAAGAAUACCCUUAUUUUAAAACAACUAUCAUACCAUUAAAUGGCAUUACACUCCACUGCACUGCUUAUUAUAGGAUCCCCUCCCUCCUUUAAUUCCUUGGGGUGCUAUAAAAUAAAAGCGAUGACAUGUC